This 253-nucleotide ribosomal RNA is filed under the name uncultured bacterium. RNAcentral's name for it is "partial 16S ribosomal RNA". It matches the Rfam family "Bacterial small subunit ribosomal RNA", at positions 524 to 776 of the family's 1533-position model. The record is from RNAcentral.
UACGGAGGGAGCUAGCGUUGUCCGGAUUUACUGGGCGUAAAGAGCGCGCAGGCGGUCGUUCAAGUCGAGUGUGAAAGCCCCCGGCUCAACUGGGGAGGGUCAUUCGAUACUGAUCGACUCGAAGGCAGGAGAGGGUAGUGGAAUUCCCGGUGUAGUGGUGAAAUGCGUAGAUAUCGGGAGGAACACCAGUGGCGAAGGCGACUACCUGGCCUGUUCUUGACGCUGAGGCGCGAAAGCUAGGGGAGCAAACGGG